GCACUCUCAGUUCCUCCUGCACCAUGUCUGCCUGGAAGCUGCCAUGUUCCUGCCUUCAUGAUAAUGGACUGAACCUCUGAACCUUUUUCAUAGACCAUGCCAAGAUUGUCAGACAAGAAAAACAAAUCUAUCUGAAAACCAAGUGAAGGAAGGGAUGCUGCUCCGGUGAUAUCUAUAAUGCCUUUGUGUGUCUUGACCAACUCCGAAAAGCAAAUGCGAGCUCAGCCAUCCUCUGUGCCUGUCUUCUGCUAAAUGUGGAGCAUCAUGCCAUCCCAAGUGCCUGUUAGAACUCAGUGGUGACACCAAUACAGA
This 312-nucleotide long non-coding RNA is filed under the name Mus pahari (shrew mouse). RNAcentral's name for it is "lncRNA (MGP_PahariEiJ_G0012323.1)". The record is from RNAcentral. Lineage: Eukaryota; Metazoa; Chordata; Mammalia; Rodentia; Muridae.